This 272-nucleotide non-coding RNA is filed under the name Phascolarctos cinereus (koala). The record is from RNAcentral. Lineage: Eukaryota; Metazoa; Chordata; Mammalia; Diprotodontia; Phascolarctidae.
GUUGAGCAUGGUGCUACAUGCCCAUAAUCUCUGCUGUCUGGAAGCUGAAGCAAGUGGAUCUCUUGAGCUCAGGAGUUUUGAGCUGCAGUGGGCUAAGCUGAUUGGGCCUCUGCACUAAGUCCAGUGUCAAUAUGGUGAGCCACUCAGUUACCUAAGGAAGAGUGAACCAGCCCAGAUGGGAAACAAAGCUCCUGUUUCAAUCAGUAGUGGGAUGGGAUCUGGUGAGUAGCCACCACAUUUUCAUUCUUGCAAGAGAGAGAGACUCAGCCUAC